UAGGGAAUCUUCGGCAAUGGACGAAAGUCUGACCGAGCAACGCCGCGUGAGUGAAGAAGGUUUUCGGAUCGUAAAACUCUGUCGUUAGAGAAGAACAAGGACGUUAGUAACUGAACGUCCCCUGACGGUAUCUAACCAGAAAGCCACGGCUAACUACGUGCCAGCAGCCGCGGUAAUACGUAGGUGGCAAGCGUUGUCCGGAUUUAUUGGGCGUAAAGCGAGCGCAGGCGGUUUCUUAAGUCUGAUGUGAAAGCCCCCGGCUCAACCGGGGAGGGUCAUUGGAAACUGGGAGACUUGAGUGCAGAAGAGGAGAGUGGAAUUCCAUGUGUAGCGGUGAAAUGCGUAGAUAUAUGGAGGAACACCAGUGGCGAAGGCGGCUCUCUGGUCUGUAACUGACGCUGAGGCUCGAAAGCGUGGGGAGCAAACAGG
Molecule: ribosomal RNA, 429 nt
Filed under: Gemmatimonadota bacterium
Lineage: Bacteria; Pseudomonadati; Gemmatimonadota
Description: Gemmatimonadetes bacterium partial 16S ribosomal RNA
Rfam family: Bacterial small subunit ribosomal RNA
Source: RNAcentral